CCUACGGGUGGCAGCAGUGGGGAAUAUUGGACAAUGGGCGAAAGCCUGAUCCAGCCAUGCCGCGUGUGUGAAGAAGGCCUUCGGGUUGUAAAGCACUUUCAGUGGGGAAGAAAGCCUUGGGGCUAAUACCCUCGAGGAAGGACAUCACCCACAGAAGAAACACCGGCUAACUCCGUGCCAGCAGCCGCGGUAAUACGGAGGGUGCGAGCGUUAAUCGGAAUUACUGGGCGUAAAGCGCGCGUAGGCGGUCUGAUAAGCCGGUUGUGAAAGCCCCGGGCUCAACCUGGGAACGGCAUCCGGAACUGUCAGGCUAGAGGGCAGGAGAGGAAGGUAGAAUUCCCGGUGUAGCGGUGAAAUGCGUAGAGAUCGGGAGGAAUACCAGUGGCGAAGGCGGCCUUCUGGACUGACACUGACGCUGAGGUGCGAAAGCGUGGGUAGCAAACAGGAUUAGAUACCCCAGUAGUC
RNAcentral lists this ribosomal RNA (465 nucleotides) under Vreelandella stevensii. RNAcentral's name for it is "partial 16S ribosomal RNA". It matches the Rfam family "Bacterial small subunit ribosomal RNA", at positions 338 to 795 of the family's 1533-position model. The record is from RNAcentral. Lineage: Bacteria; Pseudomonadati; Pseudomonadota; Gammaproteobacteria; Oceanospirillales; Halomonadaceae.